Molecule: ribosomal RNA, 777 nt
Filed under: Enterococcus lactis
Lineage: Bacteria; Bacillati; Bacillota; Bacilli; Lactobacillales; Enterococcaceae
Description: bacterial SSU rRNA
Rfam family: Bacterial small subunit ribosomal RNA
Source: RNAcentral
CCACCGGAAAAAGAGGAGUGGCGAACGGGUGAGUAACACGUGGGUAACCUGCCCAUCAGAAGGGGAUAACACUUGGAAACAGGUGCUAAUACCGUAUAACAAUCGAAACCGCAUGGUUUUGAUUUGAAAGGCGCUUUCGGGUGUCGCUGAUGGAUGGACCCGCGGUGCAUUAGCUAGUUGGUGAGGUAACGGCUCACCAAGGCCACGAUGCAUAGCCGACCUGAGAGGGUGAUCGGCCACAUUGGGACUGAGACACGGCCCAAACUCCUACGGGAGGCAGCAGUAGGGAAUCUUCGGCAAUGGACGAAAGUCUGACCGAGCAACGCCGCGUGAGUGAAGAAGGUUUUCGGAUCGUAAAACUCUGUUGUUAGAGAAGAAUAAGGAUGAGAGUAACUGUUCAUCCCUUGACGGUAUCUAACCAGAAAGCCACGGCUAACUACGUGCCAGCAGCCGCGGUAAUACGUAGGUGGCAAGCGUUGUCCGGAUUUAUUGGGCGUAAAGCGAGCGCAGGCGGUUUCUUAAGUCUGAUGUGAAAGCCCCCGGCUCAACCGGGGAGGGUCAUUGGAAACUGGGAGACUUGAGUGCAGAAGAGGAGAGUGGAAUUCCAUGUGUAGCGGUGAAAUGCGUAGAUAUAUGGAGGAACACCAGUGGCGAAGGCGGCUCUCUGGUCUGUAACUGACGCUGAGGCUCGAAAGCGUGGGGAGCAAACAGGAUUAGAUACCCUGGUAGUCCACGCCGUAAACGAUGAGUGCUAAGUGUUGGAGGGUUUCCGCCCUU